GGGCUUGUUUACCUCUGCAAGCCGGGGAGAGGAGAGCAGGGCGGCGAGGCGGCGGCCGCGGAGCGGGCCGGGCGCCCUGCCGCCGUGACCUCCUCGCGGGGGCCGAGGUGAACCAAUGUCACCCGUCCGACCGCGCGCCCCGGCCACUCACCAGGGUGAGGGCGGCCCGGGUGGGCUGCAGCUUCCUCUUGCUCACAGCCCGGACAGUGGCCCGGACUAACGAAGCCGACAUCGUCGCUGUCCCGGCGCCCGGGUACCUCGGACGGGAGCUCGGCCACCUCAGCCUCUCUCCAUGGACACGGCGGCCGCAUUGACGCCACAGGCUCCGGCGCACGGCGCCGCAAGUCCCGCCCCGCGCGGGCCCGCCCCGCCGCCGCCAUUGGGCGGGCCGCGUGCCCGCGGACGGGGAACCCAGCCCAGCCCGAGGGUGUGAUCGGGCCGCUCCGCAGCUCUCAGGCGAGAACCACUGAAUGAGCGUGGUGGACACCUGUUGUUUGUCCGGCCUGGUGGCCGCGCCAGGGCUUCUGCCUCUUAAUUCUGCAUGACACCAGGUACACGGAGGACGCCUGGUAAGUGGAGAGCCCAGGAACGGAGGAGAGGUCUAGACAGGACUCGGGAGCAGAACAGGAGGGCGGGGCUUUUCUCGUGGCCGCGCUUGUAGGGGGAAAGGAGGUGCGGCGGGGGUGGUGCUGGGGAGGAGAGCUUCUUGCUCAGUGUUGCGGCGUGGAAAGAACUAAUCAGUGAAGUGUGUUUUUAGAGCCCAGUUUAGCUUUCACCCCCCUAAAGCCUACAGGAUUGGAUGAUUCAAAAUCCCCUUAAGUAGUUCUAUCUCCGUUACUGAAAUACGACUGCAUGACGGUAAGAGAACGGUCCUCUUUGCCUCACCGUUUGUUAGCAAACGGUGAGGUUAGGGGAUGGGAAUAUGUUGGGAGUGUCUUGGCUUCACCUGACGAGCUGGGUGGGUGAUUUGGCGCAGGUGUUUUACUUCUCAUGCCCUUCCUACAGACGCGGUGAAGAUGAAAUGAAAGGCCCUUGGAAGGGUGUACCAGCAACUCAAUAAACGUUGCUAGUUUUUCGUGGA
This is a long non-coding RNA of Canis lupus familiaris (dog), 1081 nucleotides long. RefSeq lists it as uncharacterized. The transcript has 2 exons. NCBI's taxonomy places the organism in Eukaryota, Metazoa, Chordata, Mammalia, Carnivora, Canidae. The record is from RefSeq and is a predicted model, not a curated record.